GAACGGGUCUUUAGGCUUCGGCAUGGAGGCGAGUGGCGGACGGGUGAGUAACACGUGGAUGACGUGCCCUGAUGUGGGGGAUACCUCUCAGAAAUGAGGGUUAAUACCGCAUACGAUCGGGUUGGUAAGCGACUCGAGGAAAGCUGCUCGUGAGAGUGGCGCAGCAGGAGCGGUCCGCGGCCGAUUAGCUGGUUGGUGGGGUAAGAGCCCACCAAGGCGACGAUCGGUAGCUGGUCUGAGAGGAUGAUCAGCCACACUGGGAUUGAGAACGGCCCAGACUCCUACGGGGGGCAGCAGUGAGGGAUCUUCGGCAAUGGGGGCAACCCUGACCGAGCGACGCCGCGUGCGGGAUGACGGCCUUCGGGUCGUAAACCGCUUUUGUGUGGGACGAGGAGAAGGACGUUAUCACACGAAGAAGCCUCGUCUAACUACGUGCCAGCAACCGCGGUAA
Molecule: ribosomal RNA, 451 nt
Filed under: uncultured bacterium
Lineage: Bacteria
Description: bacterial SSU rRNA
Rfam family: Bacterial small subunit ribosomal RNA
Source: RNAcentral